CACGUGUCCCUUCUCAACGGACUCGAAACGCACGAUUUAUAUUCCUACAAAACCCGUGUGCCCAAAAAUAAUAAUAACCAUUUGGAUUCCGUCGAAUAAAAACAACGCAACUUCCACUCUCACCCGUUUCGUGUCACCUUUUGGCGGUUUUAACCUUUUUCAGUUUUCUGCAUUCAUUCGUUCCCUUUUCACUCUCACUCUCUCUCUCUCUCUCUCUCUCUCUCUCUCUCUCUCUCUCUCUCUUCAAUUCAUCAUACUUUGAGGUCACUGUGACUGAUUUUGUGGUUUUAAGAUUAAAAAAGUAUUGGAUGGAAUAAGGAAUGGACUAAUUUAUGAUGGUGUGUAGUUGUGGCAGUGGCAUGGUAGGUGUGGAUUAGCUAGUAUGGUAUGGUUUUCCAAUGUGAUUUUUUCUUGGUGGAGUUCUUGGCCAUUGGACCGUAAUGUGGCUUGUUUAUGCUAUUUGGCCUUUUGGUUUCUCUUAAGGAUGUAUGAAUGGGCUUUUUCGUGUUUAUCGUUUUCAAGUCCGAGAGGUGUUUGGGAAUUAUUUUAGAAGUAGAAUUGACAAGCUUUUGGACUGGUUCUAAUAUAUGGUCUUUCUGGUGACAUCCACUCUUAAUCUGAAGAAAUAAUUUUGCCUUAUCACUUUCAGACUAGAUUAUCUGCAUGAGUGCAUAUAAUUUAGAAUUAAUAAGAAAUAAUUAUUGCGUUCGAGAUAUUAUUGAUUAGCGAGUCUGAACCUAUGUAAUUAUUGUGUUCGAGAAUCAAGAUUCAGACCAGAUUUUCUGGUACAUUGAACUUAGUUGUUCAUGUAAUUUAACUUUACAGAAACAGGUGUACUGUUGUCACACCACAUGUUAUUUCCAAGAUGACCUUUCAUUUACAAUAUAUAUGAAUGUUGUACUUGUGCUCCUGUUCUUAUGUUAACGAACAUGCAUUUAUCAUCUCUGUGGAUGUGUGAAUAUAAACGAUGAAAAAAGUAAGCUGAUGCACAUUGAAGUUGUAGGAUAAUAAUCAAGAGAACGUGAGAUGGAUGGGAAAGAAUAUUUGCGGAGGCAUUCCAAUAUGAAAUGCCAACGGGUUCAGGUGGAUGAAUCAUUUGCACCUGUUCUUAAAUAUGAAGAAAUGGAAGUUGAGCAUUUACUUGAAGAACAUAGAAAUGGUCAUAUUUCAAUGGAUGGUAUGUUGCAUUUUAAUGAGGAAAGUGUAGGGGAAUGCAUUGUGAAUUUUUUUCAUGUAGAUUUGAAAUCAAGUACUAUUACUCAAAUAACCUAAACUAAAGCUGUAUCCUCUGAUGUAUUACUUGAAUUCCAUAUAUUAGCUUAUCAGGAAAUGGAGCCUUGCCAUGAGUAUUUUGGAUAGAAACCUUUUUUUAAUGUUUAUAUGUAUUUUGAAAUAAAUGAGGAAGUCAAAUGUUGUGGCGAAAGAAUGAAAGAAGAUAUCAAACUGUAUAAGAACCUGAGUAUCUUUGACAGAGUUUGGAAUAAAUGGUGCUUCUUCAAUGUUUUUGGUUCCUUGCAGAGAGAUUUACAUGCUUUGCUGCAUGUUUAUUUCUUUAGUUCGUGAGGAUUACUUAUCCUCUUGCUAUUGUACUACUCUCUUCUCUCUCUCUCUCUCUCUAUAUAUAUAUAUAUGUGUGUGUGUGUGUUUAUAUUCUUCUUUUAUUGAAAAAAAUAAAAUAGUGUUGCAUCUUCACUGAUUAGAAAUCAAAUUUUUAACUCUAUAUAUGAUAUAUUAUCUUGGAUUAGAUAAUUUUUGGUUGUUAUUUUCCCAGUUACUUCUGAAGUGCCAUCUGAUAUUAGUGUAUUACAUUCAGCAGGCAGUUUGGAUUCUCAUACCACUUUGAAUGGCCUGGAUGAUUUGGGACUGGAGGUAUUGGUUUUGUCUAUGUUCGGCACUUCCAGUUAUUACUGGGAAGAUGUUGAAGCUAUAGUGUACAUAUUUUUCUAUUUAAAAUGCUUGUUAUUGGUUGCUUGUUGUUUGAGUCUAAUCUUCAGGUUUAUAUUGUCUCUUCUAAUGUCAAUUGCUUGAUACACCCUAUUACAUAUUGCUAAAAUUGUUUGAAUUCUUAUUUUGUCGGGAUCUUUAAUAAAUAUAUUCUUAGGUGCUUGAUGGAAUUCUGGAUGAUGUUGAAAUCAAUGAUCUUGAUGGAAUGGAUGCUUUCUCUGGUGCAUGUGACGAGUACUUUUUGGAUUGUGAUUUUGUCAACAAUCCUGAGGUACUAGGUUAUGGUCUUUCUAAAGGUUCACUUUUGCAAAAUUCAAGUUCGGAAAGCCAUUCUUCGGGAUUUAGUGGAAGUAGCAUUGUUGGUGGGGUAUCAGAAUCAACAAAAGUACCCUCUGCACAACCUGAAUGCAAAAAUGACUCUCCACAUGGUACAACAACCUAUGAAUCCUGCAAUGAAUUGAAUAAUGAUCAUCACCCUUUAGCUGGUGGUAUAUUAUCUUUUGAGAACGAAAAGGAUGCUGUUGAAGAAUGCCAGCCUACUGCACUAAGAGAGAAGAGAUUCCGCAAGCCUACAAAGAGGUAUAUUGAAGAGUUUUCAAAUUUGAGGUCAAAGGAAAAGGUACCGACUUCUGCUACAAAAAAUAGUGAUGUGACACUUCCUGUGUUAAAAUUUUGUCGGGGACGCCCAAAGAAAAAGGUAUUAUUUUCAUUGGGAAGUGUUUCAGUCUUCUGUCGAUUUUCUUUAGUAUAUGAAGAUCCUUUCUGCAUAACCUCUCCUUUGGGAUAAGAGGGAGAGAGUCUUCUUUGGCUUGAUUUGUAUCAUAGUGCAUAUUAUUAUUUUAAGAUUAUUUUAAUUUACACACUUUCUUAUGUUUUCAUAUAUACUUAUGUUUUCAUAUAUACUUAUGUAUGAGCUUGAGUAUGAAUCUUUGAUGAUUAUGUGACCCAUGUAUAAGUUUUAUUUGCCAACUUGUUCUUUGCUAAAUUUUACUCUACCGACUCUUAAAUUAAGUUUGAAGUUUGUUUUCUUCAUGGUGCUUCCCUUGCUUCUUACUCCAUGCAGGGUUUAUUUUAUCUGUGCACUCUGUUUUCAAAUUGCAGGAUCAUUUCUCACCUUUAGUAUGGUAGAAAAUUUAUAUUCAAAUUUUUUAAUACUGAAGCAUGAUAUUCAUGUGUAAUUCAUUUUUCAGUCCUUAAGAUCUAUGGCCGUCUUUAUACAUGACGAAGUUACCUCAUGUUAGUGGUAAAAGUGUAUUUCUAGAUGAUAACUGCAUGUUAAUAUAAUUGCUAUGCAUGAUUAAUUAGUUUCAAAAUGUAUAGCGCCCUCCUUCGUUAAUAAGAAAAAUACUUUGUGUAGAAACUUGAAAAUGACAAGGAGUCGCUUAGCUUGGAGUCUGAGGAUGAACCCAAAAGGAAACUUGAAAAUGACAAGGAGCCAAUAAGCUCGGAGUCUGAGGAUGAACC
Molecule: long non-coding RNA, 3408 nt
Filed under: Lupinus mutabilis
Lineage: Eukaryota; Viridiplantae; Streptophyta; Magnoliopsida; Fabales; Fabaceae
Description: partial ncRNA
Source: RNAcentral